UACGGAGGGUGCAAGCGUUAUCCGGAUUCACUGGGUUUAAAGGGUGCGUAGGCGGAUAGGUAAGUCCGUGGUGAAAUCCUGCAGCUUAACUGCAGAACUGCCAUGGAUACUAUCUAUCUUGAAUGUCGUGGAGGUUAGCGGAAUAUGUCAUGUAGCGGUGAAAUGCUUAGAGAUGACAUAGAACACCCAUUGCGAAGGCAGCUAACUACGCGAUAAUUGACGCUGAUGCACGAAAGCGUGGGGAGCAAACAGG
RNAcentral lists this ribosomal RNA (253 nucleotides) under uncultured bacterium. Its description in RNAcentral is "partial 16S ribosomal RNA". It matches the Rfam family "Bacterial small subunit ribosomal RNA", at positions 524 to 776 of the family's 1533-position model. The record is from RNAcentral.